Molecule: ribosomal RNA, 876 nt
Filed under: Tubaria rufofulva
Lineage: Eukaryota; Fungi; Basidiomycota; Agaricomycetes; Agaricales; Tubariaceae
Description: LSU rRNA
Rfam family: Eukaryotic large subunit ribosomal RNA
Source: RNAcentral
UAGUAACUGCGAGUGAAGCGGGAAAAGCUCAAAUUUAAAAUCUGGCAGUCUUUGAUUGUCCGAGUUGUAAUCUAGAGAAGUGUUAUCCGCGUUGGACCUGUACAAGUCUCCUGGAAUGGAGCGUCAUAGAGGGUGAGAAUCCCGUCUUUGACACGGACUACCAAGGCUUUGUGAUGCGCUCUCAAAGAGUCGAGUUGUUUGGGAAUGCAGCUCAAAAUGGGUGGUAAAUUCCAUCUAAAGCUAAAUAUUGGCGAGAGACCGAUAGCGAACAAGUACCGUGAGGGAAAGAUGAAAAGAACUUUGGAAAGAGAGUUAAACAGUACGUGAAAUUGCUGAAAGGGAAACGCUUGAAGUCAGUCGCGUUGUUCAGAACUCAACCUUACUUUUGUGGGGUGUACUUUCUGUUUAACGGGUCAGUAUCAAUUUUGACUGUUGGAUAAAGUCCUUUGGAAUGUGGCUUCUUCGGAAGUGUUAUAGCCUUUGGUCGCAUACAACAGUUGGGAUUGAGGUACUCAGCACGCUGCAAAGCCGGGUUUCGACCACGUUCGUGCUUAGGAUACUGGCAUAAUGGCUUUAAUCGACCCGUCUUGAAACACGGACCAAGGAGUCUAACAUGCCUGCGAGUGUUUGGGUGGUAAACCCGAGCGCGUAAUGAAAGUGAAAGUUGAGAUCCCUGUCGUGGGGAGCAUCGACGCCCGGACCAGACCUUUUGUGACGGAUCCGCGGUAGAGCAUGUAUGUUGGGACCCGAAAGAUGGUGAACUAUGCCUGAAUAGGGUGAAGCCAGAGGAAACUCUGGUGGAGGCUCGUAGCGAUUCUGACGUGCAAAUCGAUCGUCAAAUUUGGGUAUAGGGGCGAAAGACUAAUCGAACCAUCU